Drosophila virilis is the source of this 255-nucleotide non-coding RNA. Lineage: Eukaryota; Metazoa; Arthropoda; Insecta; Diptera; Drosophilidae. The record is from RefSeq and is a predicted model, not a curated record.
UUGUCAAGUGUAUCAAAAACACAUAUAGGCAAUAACUAUUUGCAACUAGAUACAAAUACAUUUCUGUUGCAGAUUUAUAUAAGUGCUCAUAUCCAUAUCCGGCGUUGCUCGGCUACUUUUAUUCUGAUUGAACCAAUCGCUCUCAGUUGGUCGCGAAUGAGGCAGAGAUGUCAGUCAGCUUUAUCAAUUCUGAACUUAAUUGAAUUAAAAUAUAUUUUUUUAAAUAAAAUAAACCUCGUUGUUGACAUGCCUUAA